Molecule: ribosomal RNA, 875 nt
Filed under: Neoleptosporella sp.
Lineage: Eukaryota; Fungi; Ascomycota; Sordariomycetes; Chaetosphaeriales
Description: partial large subunit ribosomal RNA
Rfam family: Eukaryotic large subunit ribosomal RNA
Source: RNAcentral
CCAACAGGGAUUGCCCCAGUAACGGCGAGUGAAGCGGCAACAGCUCAGAUUUGAAAGCCGGCCCCCUGCGGUGCCCGCAUUGUAAUCUGCAGAGGACGCCUCUGGCGCAGCGGCCCCCUAAGUCCCCUGGAACGGGGCGCCAUAGAGGGUGACAGCCCCGUGAGCGGGCCGCUAAGCCUGUGUGAGGCCCCUUCGACGAGUCGAGUAGUUUGGGAAUGCUGCUCUAAACGGGAGGUAAAUUCCUUCUAAAGCUAAAUACCCGCCGGAGACCGAUAGCGCACAAGUAGUGUAAACGAAAGGUGAAAAGCACCCUGGAGAGAGGGUUAAACAGAACGUGAAAUUGCUGAAAGGGAAGCGCCGGCGAUCAGACGCGGGCCGUGCGGUUCAGCCGGGCUUUUGCCCGGCGAUCUCCGCCACGGCCCGGGCCAGCACCGGCUGCGGCGGGGGUUGAAUGGCGCCGGGGACGUGGCUCCCCCGGGAGUGUUAUAACCCGGCGCUCGAUGCCCCCGCGGCGGCCGAGGUACCUGCGCCUUCGGGCAUGGGUGCUGGCGUAAUGGUCAUCGGCGACCCGUCUUGAAACACGGACCAAGGAGUCAAGGUAUUGCGCGAGUGUUGGGGCGUCAAACCCCCGACGCGCAGUGAAAGCGAACGCUCGUGGGAGCCUCCGGGCGCACCACGGACCGAUCCCGAAGCUUGCGGAAGGAUUUGAGUAGGAGCGCAGUGCCUUGGACCCGAAAGAUGGUGAACUAUGCUCGGAUAGGGUGAAGCCAGGGGAAACUCUGGUGGAGGCUCGCAGCGGUUCUGACGUGCAAAUCGAUCGUCAAAUCUGGGCAUGGGGCGAAAGACUAAUCGAACCAUCUAGUAGCUGGUUACCG